AGUUUUCAGAGAUGAGAAUGUGCCUUCGGGAACCGUGAGACAGGUGCUGCAUGGCUGUCGUCAGCUCGUGUUGUGAAAUGUUGGGUUAAGUCCCGCAACGAGCGCAACCCUUAUCCUUUGUUGCCAGCGGUCCGGCCGGGAACUCAAAGGAGACUGCCAGUGAUAAACUGGAGGAAGGUGGGGAUGACGUCAAGUCAUCAUGGCCCUUACGACCAGGGCUACACACGUGCUACAAUGGCGCAUACAAAGAGAAGCGACCUCGCGAGAGCAAGCGGACCUCAUAAAGUGCGUCGUAGUCCGGAUUGGAGUCUGCAACUCGACUCCAUGAAGUCGGAAUCGCUAGUAAUCGUGGAUCAGAAUGCCACGGUGAAUACGUUCCCGGGCCUUGUACACACCGCCCGUCACACCAUGGGAGUGGGUUGCAAAAGAAGUAGGUAGCUUAACCUUCGGGAGGGCGCUUACCACUUUGUGAUCCAUGACUGGGGUGAAGUCGUAACAAGGUAACCGUAGGGGAACCUGCGGUUGGAUCACCUCCUUACCUUAAAGAAGC
This 550-nucleotide ribosomal RNA is filed under the name Escherichia coli. Its description in RNAcentral is "bacterial SSU rRNA". It matches the Rfam family "Bacterial small subunit ribosomal RNA", at positions 995 to 1533 of the family's 1533-position model. The record is from RNAcentral. Lineage: Bacteria; Pseudomonadati; Pseudomonadota; Gammaproteobacteria; Enterobacterales; Enterobacteriaceae.